AGUGAACGCUGGCGGUAGGCCUAACACAUGCAAGUCGAACGGCAGCACAGUAAGAGCUUGCUCUUACGGGUGGCGAGUGGCGGACGGGUGAGGAAUACAUCGGAAUCUACUUUUUCGUGGGGGAUAACGUAGGGAAACUUACGCUAAUACCGCAUACGACCUACGGGUGAAAGCAGGGGAUCUUCGGACCUUGCGCGAUUGAAUGAGCCGAUGUCGGAUUAGCUAGUUGGCGGGGUAAAGGCCCACCAAGGCGACGAUCCGUAGCUGGUCUGAGAGGAUGAUCAGCCACACUGGAACUGAGAAACGGUCCAGACUCCUACGGGAGGAAGCAGUGGGGAAUAUUGGACAAUGGGCGCAAGCCUGAUCCAGCCAUACCGCGUGGGUGAAGAAGGCCUUCGGGUUGUAAAGCCCUUUUGUUGGGAAAGAAAAGCAGCAGGUUAAUACCCCGCUGUUCUGACGGUACCCAAAGAAUAAGCACCGGCUAACUUCGU
RNAcentral lists this ribosomal RNA (491 nucleotides) under uncultured bacterium. RNAcentral's name for it is "partial 16S ribosomal RNA". It matches the Rfam family "Bacterial small subunit ribosomal RNA", at positions 29 to 506 of the family's 1533-position model. The record is from RNAcentral.